RNAcentral lists this long non-coding RNA (1453 nucleotides) under Balaenoptera musculus (blue whale). RNAcentral's name for it is "lncRNA (ENSBMSG00010008592.1)". Lineage: Eukaryota; Metazoa; Chordata; Mammalia; Artiodactyla; Balaenopteridae. The record is from RNAcentral.
CCCAGCCCUCGGCCUGGUCCCAGCCACCCCAAAAAGCUGGCCCUAUGGAAUCCUUGCCAAGUCUGGCUACUCGAGCCUUUCUCACUAGCCAUUCACUUUCGAGGACUCCUUUUAACAACAAGGCUCCUGCAAAAGCUUCUGUCGCCGGGGGCAAAGGGACUCGAGGGCCCAACUGCCAGAGGGGGAUGGACCUCUCUUGCUCUGGUACCAGGACUGUACGCUUUUAUGAUUGUAAAUAGCCUGUGUAAGAUUUUUAGUACCGCAGAGAGAAAACCAGAGCUCACUGCUCGUUGCUUCUGUUGGUGCUGGCGCGCCCCUCCCUUACGCGGGGUGGGGAGCGCUUGGGUUUGCACCGCCCGGAUCACUUUCCUGCUCCUCUGUCUGCUCCCUCCCUCCCCGUCCUUGCUGGGGUCCGGGCUCUUAAGGUACAGAACUCCACAAAGCUUGCAAGUCCGAGAGUGGAACCCCGCCCAUCCCAAGUCAGCCCUUGUCCGGGGCCAGAUUGCAAACGCCUGUCCCUUAGACUAUCCGAAGCUGAAAUUUUCACUGUCCAGAACCUUAACCCUAGCUUCGAGGAGGCCCACGGAUGUGGGCACUAGAAGCUGCAGCCUCCCUCGCUCUGGCCUCAAACACCCAGACACUCCCUUCUUCCACCUAAGUUGGUUAGAGGGUGAGUGGGAUAACCAAUGCCAAACUUUUUUUAAGUCUAAUUUUUGGUAGAUGAGUUCAUUUCAUUCUCCAGCGUCUAAAACCUGGUAUGGGUUUGCCCAGCGUCAUGGAAAGAUGUGGUUACUGAGAUUUGGGAAGAGGCAUGAAUCUUUGUGUGGGUUGGGAGAGACUGAAGAUGGGAGUUAUAAAAUGUUAAUUCUAAUUGCAUACGGAUGCCUGGCAACCUGCCUCUAGGAUUGACACAGCCUGCAUAAAGAUUUACCGUUCUGUAAAAUGGAAAUGUUAGGUCACCUGGAUAGCUUUGUUAAGGAGCUGAUCUUUGCUUUCCGUAACAGGACAGCAAAACGGUAAACUGAAUAUGAAAACUUGAAGGAGAUUUCAGUGUAAUGGACGUCCUCAAAAUGAAGUGCUACUUUCUUAUUUUCAAUCAAAUAAUAAUUAGACAUAUAUCAGAAACUUUAAAAUGUAAAACUUGUACACUUUCAACAUAUUAUUACGAUUAUUAUUCAACAACACAUUCUGAGGGAGAAACAAUCCACAUCACUAAUAAUAACCUGGUAAGAUUCCAGGCGGUAAAGGAGGUGGAAUAAUUGAUGGGAUUAGCUCCUGAAAUAAACAAAAUAUGGGCAUGCAUGCUAAAGGGAGAAUGUGUGCAGGUCUACUGCACUAAAUCCUGUGUGCUCCUUUUUGGAUUUACAGAAAUGUGUCAAAUGUAAAUCUUUCAAAGCCAUUUAAAAAUAUUCACUUUAGUUCUCUGUGAAAAAGAGGAGAAAAGCAAUCCUCC